RNAcentral lists this ribosomal RNA (112 nucleotides) under Castor canadensis (American beaver). Lineage: Eukaryota; Metazoa; Chordata; Mammalia; Rodentia; Castoridae. The record is from RNAcentral.
GUCUAUGGCCACACCAUCCUGCACACGCCCGAUCUCAUCUGAUCUCGGAAGCUAAGCAGGGUCGGGCCUGGUCAGUGUUGGAUGGGAGAAAUACAUGCACAGGGUGCAGAUC